UGGGGAAUAUUGCACAAUGGGCGAAAGCCUGAUGUAGCGACGCCGCGUGAGGGAUGACGGCCUUCGGGUUGUAAACCUCUUUCAGCAGGGAAGAAGCCACAAGUGACGGUACCUGCAGAAGAAGCGCCGGCUAACUACGUGCCAGCAGCCGCGGUAAUACGUAGGGCGCAAGCGUUGUCCGGAAUUAUUGGGCGUAAAGAGCUCGUAGGCGGUUUGUCGCGUCUGCUGUGAAAGCCCGGGGCUUAACCCCGGGUGUGCAGUGGGUACGGGCAGACUAGAGUGCAGUAGGGGAGACUGGAAUUCCUGGUGUAGCGGUGGAAUGCGCAGAUAUCAGGAGGAACACCGAUGGCGAAGGCAGGUCUCUGGGCUGUUACUGACGCUGAGGAGCGAAAGCAUGGGGAGCGAACA
Molecule: ribosomal RNA, 408 nt
Filed under: uncultured bacterium
Lineage: Bacteria
Description: partial 16S ribosomal RNA
Rfam family: Bacterial small subunit ribosomal RNA
Source: RNAcentral